GACGAACGCUGGCGGCGUGCUUAACACAUGCAAGUCGAACGGAAAGGCCUCUUUCGGGGGGUACUCGAGUGGCGAACGGGUGAGUAACACGUGAGUAACCUGCCCUUGACUUUGGGAUAACUUCAGGAAACUGGGACUAAUACCGGAUAGGAGCUCCUGCUGCAUGGUGGGGGUUGGAAAGUUUCGGCGGUUGGGGAUGGACUCGCGGCUUAUCAGCUUGUUGGUGGGGUAGUGGCUUACCAAGGCUUUGACGGGUAGCCGGCCUGAGAGGGUGACCGGCCACAUUGGGACUGAGAUACGGCCCAGACUCCUACGGGAGGCAGCAGUGGGGAAUAUUGCACAAUGGGUGGAAGCCUGAUGCAGCAACGCCGUGGGCGGGAGGACGGCCUUCGGGUUGUAAACCGCUUUCGCUCAUGACGAAGCUUUGUGUGACGGUAGUGGGUAAAGAAGCACCGGCUAACUACGUG
Molecule: ribosomal RNA, 467 nt
Filed under: uncultured bacterium
Lineage: Bacteria
Description: partial 16S ribosomal RNA
Rfam family: Bacterial small subunit ribosomal RNA
Source: RNAcentral